UUCUAUUUGAAUCAAAAUAUAUUGAGAAAUGAACAGUAUUUACAUAAGUAUUUCAUUAACAAAAACCAAGUCCCAUGAUUGUAUUCUCAAAAAAAUGUUACUGUUGGCAAAUUAGAUACCGAUACCGGUGGUUCUGCUUAUCCAUGUACGGUAAUCGGCGACACUGGUAAAUCCUCCAUACAUUGACUCACCAAUUA
Molecule: long non-coding RNA, 197 nt
Organism: Diabrotica virgifera virgifera (western corn rootworm)
Lineage: Eukaryota; Metazoa; Arthropoda; Insecta; Coleoptera; Chrysomelidae
Exons: 2
Source: RefSeq, a predicted model, not a curated record